Molecule: ribosomal RNA, 492 nt
Filed under: uncultured bacterium
Lineage: Bacteria
Description: partial 16S ribosomal RNA
Rfam family: Bacterial small subunit ribosomal RNA
Source: RNAcentral
AGUGAACGCUGGCGGUAGGCCUAACACAUGCAAGUCGAACGGCAGCACAGUAAGAGCUUGCUCUUACGGGUGGCGAGUGGCGGACGGGUGAGGAAUACAUCGGAAUCUACUUUUUCGUGGGGGAUAACGUAGGGAAACUUACGCUAAUACCGCAUACGACCUACGGGUGAAAGCAGGGGAUCUUCGGACCUUGCGCGAUUGAAUGAGCCGAUGUCGGAUUAGCUAGUUGGCGGGGUAAAGGCCCACCAAGGCGACGAUCCGUAGCUGGUCUGAGAGGAUGAUCAUCCACACUGGAACUGAGACACGGUCCAGACUCCUACGGGAGGGAGCAGUGGGGAAUAUUGGACAAUGGGCGCAAGCCUGAUCCAGCCAUACCGCGUGGGUGAAGAAGGCCUUCGGGUUGUAAAGCCCUUUUGUUGGGAAAGAAAAGCAGCAGGUUAAUACCCCGCUGUUCUGACGGUACCCAAAGAAUAAGCACCGGCUAACUUCGUG